CACGUAGGGGGCAAGCGUUGUCCGGAAUUAUUGGGCGUAAAGAGCUCGUAGGCGGUCUGUCGCGUCGGCUGUGAAAACCCGAGGCUCAACCUCGGGCCUGCAGUCGAUACGGGCAAACUAGAGUACUGCAGGGGAGACUGGAAUUCCUGGUGUAGCAGUGAAAUGCGUAGAUAUCAGGAGGAACACCGAUGGCGAAGGCAGGUCUCUGGGCUGAAACUGACGCUCAAGCACGAAAGCGUGGGGAGCAAACAGG
RNAcentral lists this ribosomal RNA (253 nucleotides) under uncultured bacterium. RNAcentral's name for it is "partial 16S ribosomal RNA". It matches the Rfam family "Bacterial small subunit ribosomal RNA", at positions 524 to 776 of the family's 1533-position model. The record is from RNAcentral.